GCAGCCAGGAGUCUGGAGCGCAGGUGCCGGGCAGGCAGCACUGGGAGCGCUCGGCGACUUGGCUGGAGGCCGAAGGUGCCGCCCCUGGGGAACCAGAGCGCCUUUGCAAGUGUGCCCAAGGCUAUUCCACAGAUGUCUGAAUUCAUUGUCUACUGAAAUUCCGACGUCUUGACAGUUCAACAUGUUCCAGGACAUGGCUGUUGUAGGAAAAAAUAUGAAUUAGAAAUAAGAGGAUUUAUUCACAUACCUUAAAAUAAAGGAGAAUAUUUUGCUCUUCUCUCUUUUCUUAUAGCAUUUAUAUUAUAUGUAGACAAUUUUCUCUGUUUUUUUUGAAAUAUAUGGAAGUCAUAUUAACAGCUAAAUAAACCUUUUGGCAUUCUUUUUUACUCGGGAUUGUCUUUAUCUAGGACCUUAGAUUCAUUGCUUGUUUUUGCUUUGGCAAAAGUUUAUAUUUUUUGUUAUUAGCCUUCUAAGGUAGACACAGAUUUGUUUAGAUAAAUGUCAUUUUAAGUGCACACAAAAGUUUGGCACCAAGAUAGGAUUAAAUUUAGCAAUACAGAAUGAUUAAAGCCAAGAGAUACUGAGUAAGUUCCUUUGACAGAAAACUGAUUAUCUGAGGUAAUGAUCUAAUAUUUGCAGGUUGAAGUACUUACACUGCAAAAGCAAGUGUAGUUCAGUGUAUAAACUGUGGAGUCUGUAGUUGUACUUUGCUUUCUAUUUUAUACUUCAGAAUAAUUAGCAUAGUUAU
RNAcentral lists this long non-coding RNA (748 nucleotides) under Homo sapiens (human). RNAcentral's name for it is "HSALNT0257302". Lineage: Eukaryota; Metazoa; Chordata; Mammalia; Primates; Hominidae. The record is from RNAcentral.